Zea mays is the source of this 2023-nucleotide long non-coding RNA. RefSeq lists it as uncharacterized. NCBI's taxonomy places the organism in Eukaryota, Viridiplantae, Streptophyta, Magnoliopsida, Poales, Poaceae. The transcript has 3 exons. The record is from RefSeq and is a predicted model, not a curated record.
GGCUCAGAUCGACGCCAACGACGUCCGCCUCGCCAUCCAGGCCAAGGUCAAUUUCUCUUUCUCCCAGCCGCCGCCGCGCGAGGUACCAAUCGUACCUUAUUCUCAGUUUGGGCAAAUCAGUUGGCUUAUGUUUAUUUUCUUCUAUCCCCGCCAAAUCGUUGCUUUCUCCCUGGGUUGGUUUUGUACGGCCGAGUCCAUGAAACCUAAUUAUUUUGCUGCCCGUGUAGUUGAAACUAGAUUUCGAAUUAGUUUUGUUUUUGCUGGAUUAGUUUGGUCCCUGCUCAAUUCCGUUGAUAGAGAGAUGGAAAUGUCAAUAUACAACAUAGAUUCAGAUAUAUAUUCAGAAAGAGUUUAGAUACUAAAAGCCACAUAGAUCAGAGACAAUAACAUCCUAAUCCAAAACAUAACCAUUAAGAGAAGAUUCAGAAUUCUAAACUACUACAAAAAUUAAUUAUUCAUGUGUUGUAAUAAAUUCUUGAAGUUUCAAAAGCUGUGUCUUCAUGCAUUCUAAUGGUACUUAUCAUUCCUGUGCUGCAUUGCAGACUAUGGUGAUCUUUUUACUUCCUAUGUCUAUAACAAUUUUAGUUAUUAAAACCACUUUGGCCAUACACUAGGAUCAUAUUGGUCAAGAACUAGCUUUCAUAUGGGAAAAUGACAGCUAGUGCAUUGCAUGCUACAUAAGCUUUAAAUGGUUCAGUUUGAAAUUGAUUGCCACCCACCAGUUGCAUUUUAAAUUUGUAGAUGAUUAGAUGUAGAUAAUUCAUGAUUGAUACAUGUAGGAUUGAACACUGUUGCAUUAGGGUAUUGUAUUUUGUUUUUUAUUUCAGAAUCUUCAUUUUAUGCAUCUACAUAUGACAAGGCUAUUGACACUUUUUGUCCAGAUUCUUUGAUAAAAAACUCUGACUCACCAAUUCCUAUUGGUUCUGUUAAUUGACUAUCUGCUAUAAUAUUUUGAUCUGUUGAGAAGUUCAUACAAAGUACGGACCAACCUAUGAGCAGAACCAUAUAAUCAAGUGUUCCAUCUGACCAUUCAGUGAUAAAGUGAUGUUAUGGGUAUGAAGUGUUUGAGUGCUUCCUCACGACACCUAGUACUGAGUUUUAAGGUGCAUUUCUGGAAGGUUACAAUGUCGCAAACACAAUUGAUUUCUCCUUGCUUGUUAUGGGCAUCAGCGGCAUCACUAUGGAUAUUUAUUGCCUUAUGAGGGACAUGUUUAUAUUAAAUAAGCUAGCUCUUUCAGUUUUUCCCCUUUAAAUCAGAGCACCACAGUUUCAUAUUAGACAAAAGUGGACAGAAGGGCUAAUGUCAAAGAAAGACCUCAGAUUCUAUUCUUCUUUGGCCUAUUUGUUUGAUGCUGUGUUAUACUGUUAUUUUUUAGAACAAAACAACGUGAGCUGGAAAGAAUACUAAUCACAUGCUUUAGCAUUAGUAGUUAUCUGUGUCCUAAUAUGCCUUAGCAGUUAUCUGUGUCCCAAUAUGCUUUGAAGUUUGGAAAGCUGGUGGCACUAUAUUUAUUAUUUGGAGAUAACUUUUGGAGAGUUUGAAACUAACAUUUAGUUUCUGUCUGUAAGUGGAAUACUGGAAUAGUAGUACCAUUGAUUGUUUUAUGUUGUUUAAGCUUUUUCUUUAUUGUGCAGGUUAAUGAUGCCAUUAUAGUUGGAGACAAGCUUGUUUCCUGCUCCUCAGACACUACAAUAAAGGUGUGGAAUUGCUUCUCUGAUGGUGCUUGUACCAGGACUCUCCACCGGCAUUCUGAUUACGUGAUUUGUCUUGCUGCUGCUGAGAAUAAUAGCAAUAUUGUAGCCUCUGGUGGUCUUGGUGGUGAGGUUUUCAUUUGGGACCUUGAUGCUGCUCUUGCUCCUGUAGCCAAAUCUGUGGAUGCAAAAGAGGAUGAGGUUCCUAAUGGAAACUCCGGACCUGCUUUGACAACACUGUGCAGCAUGAAUUCUAGUUCUUAUUAUGUUGAUAAGAGAUUUCUUUAAAUGUGGUAUUACUAAAUACAAUUAACGUGAUCCAUGUUGAUCC